Molecule: ribosomal RNA, 497 nt
Filed under: uncultured bacterium
Lineage: Bacteria
Description: partial 16S ribosomal RNA
Rfam family: Bacterial small subunit ribosomal RNA
Source: RNAcentral
GAUGAACGCUGGCGGCGUGCCUAAUACAUGCAAGUCGAGCGAACAGAUGAGGAGCUUGCUCCUCUGACGUUAGCGGCGGACGGGUGAGUAACACGUGGAUAACCUACUUAUAAGACUGGGAUCAUUUCGGGAAACCGGAGCUUACACCGGAUAAUAUACUGAACCGCAUGGUUCAAUAGUGAAAGACGGUUUUGCUGUCACUUAUAGAUGGAUCUGAGCCGCAUUAGCUAGUUGGUAAGGUAACGGCUUACCAAGGCAACGAUGCGUAGCCGACCUGAGAGGGUGAUCGGCCGCACUGGAACUGGGACGCGGUCCAGACGCCUACGGGAGGCAGCAGUAGGGAAUCUUCCGCAAUGGGCGAAAGCCUGACGGAGCAACGCCGCGUGAGUGAUGAAGGUCUUCGGAUCGUAAAACUCUGUUAUUGGGGAAGAACAAAUGUGUAAGUAACUAUGCACGUCGUGACGGUACCUAAUCAGAAAGCCACGGCUAACUACGUG